RNAcentral lists this unclassified non-coding RNA (244 nucleotides) under Hevea brasiliensis (rubber tree). The record is from RNAcentral. Lineage: Eukaryota; Viridiplantae; Streptophyta; Magnoliopsida; Malpighiales; Euphorbiaceae.
UCUAUUUCAGCUGCUAGGAGUUCCAUUUCCGCAGCUAGGAAUUCUGGUGUCAAUGGUGGUCUGCUCUUUGAUCCUGAUAGAAAAAGCGGCUCCAGUGAAGCAGAGCCAAGAAAAAGUGGCUUCGACGUUGAAAAGAAAGACACUAGUGUUUCAGAUCCCAAAAAGCUUGAUCCUGGUUUUAAUGGAGAAAACACUAGACGUGUGUUUUCACUUAGAGAAGGCAACUUUACUACUAUGGAUGAUU